AUCCGUUCAUAUUGACCAUGAACAGCCCAAAAGUGAUGUUCAUUUCUUAUAUUUAUAUUCAUUUACUAAAACACUGUUUGUUUACAUUGCUUCUCCUAGUCUCUGGCACAGUAGUUAUUGUGACGUACGUCAACACAUAGACAUGACGUCACAUUUCGUCUCACCCUGCCUUUUAUCAACAAUGCAAGGUGCACUGUAUUUUGGAGGUUGGAGACCGCAAGAUUGGGAUUAUAAUCCAUAAAACACACCUGUACCUACCUGCCUAUUCUCUCCAGUAUACAGAAGUUGACCUCUGAUUGGCUGUAGAGACUGCUGGGGUCCAGUUCUUCCCCACAGAGAGCCGUAAACCUCUGACCCUGGGAUGCCACAAUCACCAGAUUCCUUCCAUACCUGACAAAUAACCACACACACUAGCUUUAAGCCAAAUCUACCUCUAACACUCUUCUUAAUUAAAGUGUCAGCCACAUCAUAUGUACAAAGAAAUGUUUAAGAUAGCUCUGUAUGGUUAUAGACUGUCUGUUCUCCACAUCUAGUCUGUUUGACCCAUGUCAUGGUAUUGUACAUGUAUAUAUGUACAGUAAAACUAGGGCUGAAACGAUACGCCCCCUUCACGAUAUAAUACAUACUGCAAUACCUAUUCCAUAAUUCAAUACUUUCAAUUCGACACAAUUUACAGAAGAAACCAAUAAUAACAUUGAAGAAAAAUUUAAUUACCAAGAUUCAAAAUCAUAAAUUUAAAAGCAAAAUGUUUCAAAACUGCCAAACGGUAAGAUGCAUGUUGGCUCUGUAGUUUAAACUGAUAAAGUUUAUCAUUAUUUUCGUAAGACUCAAGGCAAACAACAGUUUGAACGAUAUUUGACGCUAUUUUGUCCCUCACCCACGUAAAAAUCAUAAGUACAGGCCGAGCUUGAUGUAUUUUACUGAACCCGUUUGUAAUAAACAUAUCGAACCAAAAAUUGAGGCAAUGAAUCGAACAUUGAAUUGAGCGUUUGUAUUGAACAGUAUCACUGUUUCGGUGAAUCGUUUCGCUGUUUCGGUGAAUCGUUUCAGCCCGAAGUAAAACAUGUUUAUAACAAACACACUAAUAACAAAUUAAAGUUUAUUUUAACAUUAAAUUAAAUAUUCAAUAUCAAAUAUUUCAAGAUAUAUAUUCCCCUAUGAGAGGAAAAUAACGAGCACUGCAUUGGAUAUAACAAAGUUUGAUUAUAACGGACUGUUUUUCACUGGACCUGAAGGUUCGCUUUAAUCAUGUUUUACUGGACCUGAAGGUUCGCUUUAAUCAUGUUUUACUGGACCUGAAGGUUCGCUUUAUCGUGUUUUACUGGACCUGAAGGUUCGCUUUAAUCGUGUUUUACUGGACCUGAAGGUUCGCUUUAAUCAUGUUUUACUGGACCUGAAGGUUCGCUUUAAUCAUGUUUUACUGGACCUGAAGGUUCGCUUUAAUUGUGUUUUACUGUAAAAAUGUUUUUUAUGUUGCAUUCCAUGAAUUGAUUGAACUGAACGAGGGUGUAGUGUCAAAACCUGUCAGAUGAUGAGGAGGCAUGCCACCAUCCAAAAACUUUAGAAUAUAAAACUGUUAUUAAAAGCGGAUAACCGAAUUCAUGGAAUGACUGUAGGAUGACGCAAGAUGUUGUGAUGAUAAUACAUGGAGAUGAUGAGAUGAUGACACAUGGAGAUGAUGAAAUGAUGACACAUGGAGAUGAUGAGGUGAUGACACAUGGAGAUGAUGAGGUGAUGACAUGUGGAGAUGAUGAGAUGAUGACAUGUGGAGAUGAUGACACAUGGAGAUGAUGAGGUGAUGACAUGUGGAGAUGAUGAGGUGAUGACAUGUGGAGAUGAUGACACAUGGAGAUGAUGAGGUGAUGACAUGUGGAGAUGAUGACACAUGGAGAUGAUGAGGUGAUGACAUGUGGAGAUGAUGACACAUGGAGAUGAUGAGGUGAUGACACAUGGAGAUGAUGAGGUGAUGACAUGUGGAGAUGAUGACACAUGGAGAUGAUGAGGUGAUGACAUGUGGAGAUGAUGACACAUGGAGAUGUGUCAGUCUCGUUUGUGAAUCGUUUGUCCUGAUCUCUGGAGUUAUGCACUGUCUGCUUAGAUAUGUAGAACAGGACCCAAUCACUGGCCC
Ostrea edulis (European flat oyster) is the source of this 2128-nucleotide long non-coding RNA. RefSeq lists it as uncharacterized. The record is from RefSeq and is a predicted model, not a curated record. Lineage: Eukaryota; Metazoa; Mollusca; Bivalvia; Ostreida; Ostreidae. The transcript has 4 exons.